This 207-nucleotide long non-coding RNA is filed under the name Gossypium raimondii (Peruvian cotton). Its description in RNAcentral is "long non-coding RNA (GRAI_LNC007894)". Lineage: Eukaryota; Viridiplantae; Streptophyta; Magnoliopsida; Malvales; Malvaceae. The record is from RNAcentral.
UUUUUACCCAAACCCUCCCAUUUUUCGAGCGGGCCGUCAGGUCGGGCCGGGCCGAGUAGCCCAACCCAUGAUCACCUCUACAAUAUAAUGACCUCUAUGAUAUUUUUACCAUCAUAAUUAAAUAUUUUUAAAAAUGAGGACUGAAAAUCAACAACAUAUAAAGAAAAAAAAAAGAGAAAAGAACAUGGGGUUGUUUUGUAAGAAAAA